RNAcentral lists this long non-coding RNA (7330 nucleotides) under Homo sapiens (human). RNAcentral's name for it is "HSALNT0391720". The record is from RNAcentral. Lineage: Eukaryota; Metazoa; Chordata; Mammalia; Primates; Hominidae.
AGGUGGAGUCUCCUCUGUCGCCUGGAGUGCAGUGGUGCCAUCAUAACUUACUGCAGCCACAACCUCCCUGGCUCAAUUAAUCCUCCCACCUCAGCCUCCCAAACAGCUGGGACUACAGGUGUGUGCAUCACACCUAGCAAUUUUUUUUAAUUUUUUUGUAGAGGAAAGGUUUUGCCAUAUUGCCCCGGCUGGUCUUGAACUCCUGGGCUCAAGUAAUCUGCCCACAUUGGCUUCCCAAAGGGCUGGGAUUAGAGCUGUGAGCCACCAGGCCCAGUGCACAUGAACAUAGGAAGUUUCUAACAAUAGAAUAUGUUACAAGUGUGGAUCUUUGUUAGAAGUGUUGUUUAACAAUUAGAUUACUGUCAUAAUUGUCAUCUCCACUAGGUGGCAUUCUCCUUUCUACUUUGGUUUUUUGUUGUUUUUUUGUUUUGUUUUGUUUUUGAGUAGGAGUUUCGCUCUUGUUGCAGUGAGCUGUGAUCUUGUCACUGCACUCCAGCCUGGGUGACAGACUGAAACCUUGUCUCAAACAAACAAACCUAUUACAUAUUAACAUAAAUAACAUUUUUAGAAAAAAUAAGUAUUUCCAAAAAAAUGUUAAUGCAAAGAGUGGCACUGUGUCACCACUUUACAAAUCUCUUUAAUGUCUGGCUUAAUAGAAUAUGGCUGGGUACAUAUAACUGCUUUUGCAUUCAGGUAAUUAUAGGUAUUCUUCUUUGAUACUUCAUCAAAACUCAACAGGUGAUAGUUUCCUUGAAAGGUUAGUUACAUCAUGGAAUGCAAAGCCUUACCAGUGAACUCUGCAUUCUGCUUCCCUAAAAUCCACUGGUCUGUCUUGCCCUUUGAAUGGAUCUUUUACCCAUACAUGAUUUGAUAUCGUCAGGCUCUGGUGAUUUGAAAAUUGCUGAUGUACUGAGUUACACAGAUCUAAAUGUUGACACAUUUUGUUCUGUCGUAUCAAAAAAGUAGUAUUUAUUAGUGACAUCACUAAUCUCAUCAGAAAAUCAUUAAAUGUUAGAAACCUUUUAGCAAGCCCACAAUAAGGAGCAAUACAUUUUUUAAGAUAAUGUGUUUCUAAUAAUUUUUGUUUGAAAGCAUGAAUUUAUCAUUUUCAAUAUGUGCUAUCAGAGCUUUCCUUGAAGUAACAGGCUUUGGUCUUGAGAAAAUGUCUGCCAAAUACCCAAGUCCAGAUAACUAGUUUGUCAUUAUUUCAAAUAAAAAUGGUGUUUCCUGAAGAAAACUGUCAGUUCAACUGGUGACUCAAAUAAUCACAAACGGUAGUCCAUCCUUUUCCGUGGCUUCAGUAACCUGAGGUCAGCUGCAGUCUGAAUAUAUUACAUGCAGUAAGCUAUUUUGAGAGAGAGUUCACAUUCGCAUAGCUUUUAUUACAGUAUAUAAUUCUAAUUGUUGUUAAUCUCUUACUAGUUUAUAAAUUAAACUUUAUCAUAGGUAUGUAUGUAUAGGAAAAAGACAUAGUAUGUAUAGGUCUCAGUACUAUCAGAGGUUCAAGGCAUCUACUGGGAAUCUUGGAACGUAUACCCCACGGAUAAGGGGGCAUUGCUAUGUGUGCUUUUCCCUGAGACAUUUGUCUGACUUUGUUAUGCAGCAGAAGUAUUUAUGCAUGCCUCUCAUGUCAUUGCCCAAAAUAUUAAAGAGAUGUAUAUUCAAAUGUCAAGAUGUCAUAAAACUAAUCAUUUUUACUGUCCUGGCAGAAAACUUUUUUUUUUUUUUUUUUUUUGAGACACUCACUCUGUUGCCCAAGCUGGAGUGCAGUGGCACAAUCUCGGCUCACUGCAACCUCUGCCUUCCAGGUUCAAGUAAUUCUCCUGCCUCAGCUUCCUGAGUAGCUGGGAUACAGGCACGCGCCACCAUGGCCGGCUAAUUUUUGUGUUUUUAGUAGAGACAGGGUUUCACCAUAUUGGCCAGGCUGGUCUCGAACUCCUGACCUUGUGAUCUGCCCGCCUCAGCCUCCCAAAGUGCUGGGAUUACAGAUGUGAGCCACCACGCCCGGCCUAUGGCUGACCAUUCUUAAGUGAAACUGGCUUUUUUUUUUUUUUUUUGGAAACGAAGUCUCGCUCUGUCACCCAGGCUGGAGUGCAGUGGCGCAAUCUCAGCUCACUGCAGCCUUCACCUCCCAGUUCAAGCGAUUCUCCUGCCUCAGCCUCCCGAGUAGCUGGGAUUACAGAUGUGAACCACCGUGCCUGACUAAUUUUUGUAUUUUUUUUUUUUUUUUUUUGGUAGAGUUGGGGUUUCACCAUGUUGGUGAGGCAGGUCUCAAAUUCCUGACCUCAAGUGAUCCACCCACCUCAGCCUUCCAUAGUGCUGGGAUUACAGGCAUGGGAAUCCCAUGGGAUUACACCCAGCCCUUUUUUUUUUUUUUUUUUUUUAAAUCAAACGGCUACAGUUUGGUGCUGCCACCUCAAUUUGUUCUAAAGGCUAGCAGUUUACCCACCAUUGCUUGUGCAAAGGUCAACACGAUGAAAAAGACAAUGACUUAAAACGGUUUUGACUUUGCAGACCCCUUAGAAAAACUACUAUUAUUCUAAAACAGAAAUCAUGGGUCAGUGAUUCAGUAGUUGUUUGAGAACUGUUUUUAUUGCUCUGAAAAUGUCCGUUAAGUUGUUAGCCUUAUGGGGUCUUGAGCCAUGUUGAGGGUGGGUUAGUAUUCAGAGUAAGAUGAUUCAGCCCUGGCAUGGUGGGGAGGAGUUCAAGCUCUGGAAUGAGACUGGGGUUUUCUUGGGGAAGUCCUUUAACCUCAGUUUUUCUCAUCGCGAAAAUAAUCAUCAUAAUAAAAUCUGUCUCAUUUAUUUUAAGGUUCAACUAAGUAAAAAUAAAAUGCAGUUGUCCCUCACUAUCUGUGGGGAUCCCAGGACCCCCUCCUCAGAUGCUCAAGGUUCUGAUAUAAAAUGGUGUAGCAUUUGCAUUUAGCCUUGGGAAUCCUUCUGGAUACUUUAAAUCAUCUUAUGAUACUUGAUACAAUGUAAAUGGCUGUGUAACUAGUUGUUAGACUGUGUUGUUUAGGGAAUAAUGACAAGCAAAAAAGUCUGACACGUUCAACACAGACACAAUUUAAAACACACACACACACACACACACACACACACAAUUGGAGGUGAGUUCUGGCCAUGGAUUCAGAACCACAGAUCCAGAGGGCCGGCUGUACUCGACUCAGUAUGUCUGGUGUGUGUUUGUUCAGUAGCAUUGGCUGAACUGACCAUCACUUCCAGUUCCACCUGUGCACACUUCCCAGGCUGGUCAUACCAUGUUGUCGGCCGGUUUUGGAAGAGCAGAUUCCAUGUUUUAAACUGGAGUGCUCUCAGAAGAGCAGUCAUAAAGGUGAGGGGACUCAAAAGCACAUCACCUGAGGGAAAGGUAGAGCUGGAAGACAGAAGACUCGGGAAGAGCCGGGGUUGCGCUCUGGUGUUUGAAGGUCUGCUGAGGGAAAGGCUAAGGCAGCCUGAGGCAGACCUGAAGCCGCGCGCAGAAUUCCACAGAAGUUUACCUUCAUAUAACGAAGGACCUUUUGUGAUCUCCGGCCACAAGUGGGUUGAGCUGUUUCAUAAGGUAGUGAGCUCCCUGUUUCUAGAGGUUUUUCAGGCAAGUUUUUUUUUUUUUUUUUUUUGAGACGGAGUCUCGUUCUGUCGCCCAGGCUGGAGUGCAGUGGCUCCAUCUCAGCUCACUGCAAGCUCCGCCUCCCAGGUUCACGCCAUUCUCCUGCCUCAGCCUCCCGAGUAGUACCUGGGACUACAGGCGCCCGCCACCACACCUGGCUAAUUUUUUGUAUUUUUAGUAGAGACAGGGUUUCACCAUGUUAGCCAGGAUGGUCUCGAUCUCCUGACCUCGUGAUCUGCCUGCCUCGGCCUCCCAAAGUGCUGGGAUUACAGGUGUGAACCACCAUGCCCGGCCUUCAGGCAAGUUGUAAGAAACGACUUGUCAUCAACAUCAUAAAAUCUGUUGGUAGAGGUUGGAUUAAACUCCAGGGAGUUCCCUGGGAACCCCCUAGGAAAGGACUUGGGCAUUAUACAUAAGCAAAGUUGAGUAUUCUCUAACUUUGUUAUCUGAUGACUUUAAAAUAUGCACAGACUGGAAUUGCCCUGGUUUUUAUUGCUCUGAUGUUUGGGGUUACCUGUGAGCACAGAGUCCCAUGUUUGGGAGCGUGAGUAAGAACUAACUCUGGCCCACCUGGGCAGAGAGACUUGGUCCUGUCCUUUAGGUUGGGGCAGCAGGGAUUGGGCUCUGCAGGUGCUGAGUUUGCCCCAAACUAGCGAACAGGAGAUUGGAGAAGGAGGCUGGGCGUUGCAUAGGAAACAAGCUUUGUUUCCUGUGUUCCAUUAUUUUUUCGUCUCUAACUUCAAGUUUCUGAUCUUGUCUCUUCGGUAAGCAGCAAAUUAACAGGAGGUGGCACUGCUGUUCUGGAAAAAGAGCAGACGUGACAGUCCUGGGGCCAGCACCUCACUCCGGGAAAGGAGUGCCUGGUGGCUGAAGUGCUUCCUCCCCCUGUUUACCUUUGGCACCCGAACAUCCCUUUCGCCACUCUCCUUUGUCCAUUUUUACCUCGUUUGCUCUGGACGGUUUCCCUUGUUUAUUUUUUUCUCCACUCCUACAGUUCCUGUGGAUGAAGCUGUUUCCAUUCACUCACUGUCCCUGACACACCCUUCCUUUGAAAACAAACAUGGGGGUUGAGAGCCUGGAGCAAGAAAGAUGGAGCAGCCUAUUGCCAGCUGACUGGGAGGGACUGGGAUCGCCGGCCUCCCUGAGGUGCUGAUCUAGGAAAAGAUCUAGAUCUCACGCUCUGAUCUAGGAAAAGAAUCCUCCCAGCCCAGGAGUGUACAUCUGUGAAAACAAAAUUCCGUCUUCUGGGUCAAGGAGGUGGCAUCAGGUGGGGGUUGGGGGGAAUUGUUCUGGCAUUUUUUAAAAAGGCGUGUAUAACCCCAGUUAAGAGAAGACAUUUUUAAAAUUCUAAGAUCCCUAAAGUAGUACUAAAAUGUGGAGCUCACAAACAAUUUAGAGCCGGUCUGGUGGACUUGUGGUCCGAAGACCUGGGUUGUGCCCUGGCCUGGCUUCCCUCUGGCUGUGGAACCACAGGCCUGUAACUUAAGCUUCACUCGGCUCCAUUUGGGCAGUCAGGGCCGUGAGACCCCCUUUGCAAGGUGGUUGUGACUGCGGCGUGAGAGAAUGUACAUGAAGGUGCUUUUCGCAGUAUACAAUGCACUUGUUAGCAGUGCUUGGCCUUUUCAGUGUAACUAAGUCUGAUUAUACGCCCUUAUCCUGUAGGUUAGAAGGCGCCACGAUUUCUCGGCUCACUGCCCUUCAUGUCUCCAUAGUUUUUCACAGACCUCUGGAACAAAAAGAAAUGCCUAAUGGCUGAGUGUGGUAGCUCAAGCCUGUAAUCCCAGCACUUGGGGAUGCCCGAGGCAGGAGAAUUGCUUGAGCACAGGAGUUUGAGACCAGCCUGGGCAACAUGGUGAAACCCGUCUCUACAGAAACUACAAAAGUUAGCCAGGCAUGGUAGUGUGUGCCUGUAGUCCCAGGUACUUGGGAGGCUGAGAUGGGAGGAUCAUUUGAUCCUGGGAGGCAGAGGUUGCUGUGAGCCGAGAUCUGUACCACUGCACUCCAGCCUGGGCAGCAAACCAAGACCCUGUCUGAAAAAAAGAAGAAAAAAUGCCUAACGAAUGGUUCUGUUUCUUAUGUCAUUAGCUUCAGACACUAAGUAUUACUGUCCUCACAAUUCAGUAGCUGCUUAAAAAAAUAAUAUGUGUAAGUGUGUGUGGUAUGUGACAUGUGGAGUAAGGCUGUGUUUCCUGUAACAGUUUUGUUAAAUAUCCUGUGGCACCUUUGUGAGUUUGCUGGGUUACCCCAGGUAGUAGUCUGGGAACUGUGGCAGUAGAUUGUCUUAAGAGUUCCAGAGUGGGGGCCUUGACAAGUCCUCACUUAGCCUCCUCUGGAGGCCCAGCCGGGUGAGUGGUUCUCUGCCUCAGUGGCUAUUCAUACCCAUCCUGAAGAAGACCAGGUCUCCCAGUUGACGGGAGUUACUGACUCACAGUCUAGAUGAGGAUUUGUAUUGGGCAGAGCUGACUCGGUAAUUCCCUCACCCACUCUCCUCUCAACUCCUUCCCACUGUCCUUGCAUUACUCCUGAUCUUUUGAAGUACCAGAAUCAAAUAUCUGAAAACUGCCUAAGGGGCUAAUCUCCCAGGAAUUUGUUGUUGACUGCUGAUUAUAGGAAGAACUUUGAGGAGCCUGCCAGCAAUUGCAUGCAGGCAGCACUGCAGGUUGAAAUCUUAUAUUCUUUUUAUUGAACACAGACCCAGAACACGGGCAGCUUCUGCAGGAUUGCUGCAGAGCACAAGUGUUUCCCAUCUGGGCUCCUGGUAUAUUCGCUGCCCUUCCAAGACUCUGGGAUCUGAAAGGAAGAUGCUGUGGCUUUUCAUAAACAAGCAGCAAAGGGUUGCAUUCCUCCUGAUAUUGAAGGAUAUUUAGGAGGGUAUGUGAUGUGGUAUGAGAUAGGAGCCCCGAGUCCUUUUGCAGCAUUGCAAACAGGUUGUUUGUGUGCCUUUGUUGAUGCGCUGCUGGCGAGCCCUGACAACUGAGAAUUACUCUGCAGAACGAAAGAGCAAACUUGAGCUCUCAGAGCUUAAGCUUGGACUUUUUUUUUAAUGGACAGAGUUAUUUUUUUAUAAAAAUAUAAAAUGUUUUUAUAUUGUGUUUAUUUUUAUUUUUGUCAAAUUAUUGUAGCAAGAUUGAGUAUUUUGCAAAAGGAAAAAAAAUCACCUAAUCUCAUGAUGCUAACCAUACGACCAUUUUUUUUUUUUUGAGACGGAGUUUCACUCUUGUUGCCCAGGCUGGAGUGCAGUGGCGUGAUCUCAGCUCACUGCAGUCUCCACCUCCUUGGUUCAAGCGAUUCUCCUGCCUCAGCCUCUCGAGUAGCUGGGAUUACAGGUGUGCACCACCACACCCGGCUAAUUUUGUAUUUUUCAGUAGAGAUGGGGUUUCUCCAUGUUGGUCAGGCUGGUCUUGAACUCCUGACCUCAGGUGAUACACCUGCCUCGGCCUCCCAAAGUGCUGGGAUUACAAGCGUGAGCUGGGAUUACGGGUGCAAGCCACUGCACCCGGCCUCAUACAGCCAUUUUUAUUCUUCUUUUAUGUUUGCCUAUAAUAACAUAUGUUUUGCAUCCAGCUUUGUCUCUAUCUAUAUAUAAACAUUUUCAAUGUUGCUGUACUGUAUAAUUAUAAUAGCAAUAUGACACAAAUGAACAGUUAAAAACAAACACUGAAGAAUUGUAUGGCAUAUGAGGCUGGGCGCAGUGGCUCAUGCCUGUAAUCCCAGCACUUUG